Molecule: long non-coding RNA, 2416 nt
Filed under: Triticum aestivum (bread wheat)
Lineage: Eukaryota; Viridiplantae; Streptophyta; Magnoliopsida; Poales; Poaceae
Description: long non-coding RNA (TAES_LNC003436)
Source: RNAcentral
GCUCGUCUUCCCUAUGUGUGUCGUCUUACCAUCCCUCCUACUGCAUUGAUAAUCUUCCAAGGCCAAUAUUAAUUUGAGGUGAUGCCCCCCGCCCCCCGCCCACAAUUUGCCUACCUUCUGAGACCUGGCGGGCCAUAUGUUUUAAAAUUGUAGAGUGGUCAAUGUUGUGGAGCUAGGUGUGAUGUGAAUUAGGAUCAGGCAUUCAAGUCAAUCUGCCGGUGAGCACCAAAAUUCAACUUCUGCUCGUUCAUUCAUUUUUCCAUUCACACUGCAUGCAGCCAUUAGUUUACACACGAAAUCUGUAGCCCAUUCACAUGCUUUUGUGUUUGCACAUUGUAACUCACAGGAACACAAUUUUUCUUUUUUGCAAGCUGGACUAUUGGUUUCUUAUAAUGUUUUGCUAAUUUUUCUUCUCCCUUAUUACAGCGCACUUAUUUCUGCAAUGACAUGUUACAGUUUGGAUGUGGCAGCUGCAUGAUUUUGCUUUUGGGCAAUUUUAUCAAGUAGGGAUUUGCUAGUUGGAAUAUUAUGGCAAUUCAUUCUGCAAUCUUUUUUUUCAGAACUUUCAGCAGUCGAAUAGUUGGAGCAUUUGACAGCAAGUUAAAUCUUUCUGUUGGUAGCAUGAUUACAUUCUGCAAACUGUGCCUCAUCUGAAGAGAAACAACGCUUUUGUUGGUAGUUCAUCUGACAAUUCCAAUGUUGCAGCAGUAUCAAACAGAAAAGGAGGUAAGAGACAGAGCAUUCCAAUGUUGCAAGCUUUAUUUCUAUGAAAUAAUAAUGUUCUAAUUAUGAUGUUCCUUCUAGCAUGAACAUCUUGAAUGUGUAGGUGAUACAUACCACGUGGUGUUUGUUUUUCAUCAAUCCUUUGUAAUAUCAUCAAGUAAAAAACAAGGUAUGCCAGACUAUUUUUGUCGUGUCACAUACUAUUAGGCGAUUGUAAUGUUUAAUUAAAGUUUGGAAUAUAAUCCUAACUUCCAGAUUAUGGAAUACUGCAGGUUCUGUACUACUUGACUUCCAUGGUCCAUUUGCCGAUUCAUUUAUGCAUUCAUUGGUUGGAACAAGUAUCCAAACAUGCACUGUGAAGCUUAAGACACGGUAUCCUAUUCAGUGUUAAGGACUCGGGGGACAAAUGCCAGUGCAUAUCUGUUUUGACAUAUUGGUUACAUGUGUUUCAUGUAACAUGCAUUUCCUGAAGGUGAUAUUGAUUGCCAUCUAUACGCUUUCAGUUGUUCGUUUGCUGUUUUUCGCCAAUUUCAGGGGGUUUAUGAGCUACAAGACUUUUUAAAAAGGGAUGAGCUACAUUACUAUAAACUCAAUCUGUCUUUAUAUAUUACCUCGCCACAGAAAAUUACUUUAACUAUCAGCUAUGAAAAUGAGGUUUAGACCAAUAUCUUGAGUAAAUCCUUGCCCUCAAGUUGCCUAUGAUGCAAUGUAACUACCAUUAGGAAUCACUCCAGGAGGGAUACGAUGGGUUAUUUCGUGGAAACUGCUACUUUGACUAGAAAAAAUAGUCGCAAUAUUAUUUUAUAGUUAGGCUUCCCUUAAAAGCAUAUACACUUGCACGUGUAACAUUUCCAUUUUAAAUACCGUCGUUAGUUUUUAUGUGUGUUUCCUAUUGAUUUUUUCUAGUUAGGAAAUUAUCACAUGGUAAAUCUUGCAUUGUCUGUAUCUUUUUGCAGUUCAAUUAUAUUUAACUUUAUAUGCACUUAACAAUCUUAUCUCCAUAUAUUGAAAAAUAUCUGAAAACAUGGUUUGAUUUUAUGUGAAUGUACUACUAUUUUAGUUGUUCCUACUAUUGUGUGUGCCAUCACUCCUUAGACUUCGAUCAAAAUAUUAUUUAUGUGUUGUCUUUUACUUUGUAAUUGAAUGAUGUUUACAACCGAGACUUCAUCCUGAAGAUCCCUAAUCCCAAUGUUUAUGACUGAAUAAAAAAGAGAGCAAAGACUUGAUUUUCUUAAUCUUGAACGAAAAAUUAGGUAUCAACUUGUCGUCGAGCAAUCUUGGGACAUACAACUUAGAUGGAGAAACAACGAUCGAUUAUAUGUGAUCGUGUUGAUGCAAGGAUAGAUGAUGAUGAUGAUGCAAGUGGUGGUACGUGCAGCGCACUAAAAUUUGACAAAAGGCUGCACAGAUUUUUUGGGGCAUGUAACACUAAUUUCAAUUUGUUUCAUAUUAUGUGCUUUGCUAAAGCUUUUAUCAAAACGAUGAUGUCGUGUGUUGCAAAUAAUUUUCUUCGGAUUUAUUUCACCCCCACCAUCUGAACGCAUCAAGUUUGCGUUGUUCAUAUUCUAUUACAGAGAUUACCAUAUAGUUUUCCCAAAUAAUUAUAUCAUUCUUUCAAAAUGAAAUGAGUGAGUGCACUAUUAUCCAACUUUUUACAUAAGUUCAUCGAUGCUCAUUAUUUUAUUGACAAAAU